RNAcentral lists this long non-coding RNA (1322 nucleotides) under Macaca mulatta (Rhesus monkey). RNAcentral's name for it is "lncRNA (ENSMMUG00000060320.1)". Lineage: Eukaryota; Metazoa; Chordata; Mammalia; Primates; Cercopithecidae. The record is from RNAcentral.
CUGUUAUUAAAUUUGGUUUGAUUCUACAUAUCAAUUUGUAUAGAUCUAAUGUUUUUGUAAGUUAUACUCUGUGUAUCUUGCCAGAGCACAGAAAUGCAAUUAAUUUUUCUAUAUUAGUUUUAUGGUAAGCUUGACAGAUUUUGCUAUUCGUUUUUUAAUAUAUUGGUUAAGCUAUAGCAACACAGAGACUCAAAAUUAGAAUGGCUUUUCACGAGAUGGAAUACAGUUUCUCUCUCAUGUCAUAAUUCAAGUUAGGAAGUUCUCUUCUGUGACAUCAUGUAAGCAGGACCGUCUCUCAGAGCAAACACAGUGGCUGCCCUGGGACCUGCAGUGGGUUCAACCAUGUUGUCACAUGUGUAUUGGCUAUUUGGAUAUACUGUUUCCUGUACCCAUUCAAACAAAAAGAACAGCAAGAAGCAAUUGAACACAUUGAUGAAGUUCAAAAUGAAAUAGGUAACAUUUUUCUUAAUAUACUUUGGAUAAAUUUUCUGAGAUGUGUCUAAUGGCCCGGUAAUCAUUGAAGCUGUGGUCAAAUAUAUCCACUGUCACACUGUCAAAGUGGAAAUGAUUCUAACUUGGUUGGAAACAUUUAUGUAGAUUCAGUGUUUUUUGGUGAAGUGAUUGUACAAAGUUUUUGAUGAAAGUACAUUGACCUUACAAGGUUUGGGUUUGCUUUCAAAGACUAAAAAUUGUCUGAAUCGCAUAUUCAUCAUCACAAUAAAAAUAUGGAACUGUUCCAAUGCCACAAAAAUUCUCCAUGUUGCUCCCACCCCCAUUCUUAAUCCCUGGCAACUAUUAAUCGGCUCUUUAUUUCCAAAAUUUUGUCAUUUUUAAAGUGAAAAGCCUAUCCUUCUUCUACUUUUUGGUUUUUUGUCCUAAAAAUUAAUGGUACAUAUUUGUGGGACUUUGUUCCUACAUUUUCUAUUGUGUUCCACUGAGCUGUAUGUCUACCCUUCUACCAAUAUGGCACUGUCUUGACUACUACAGUCAUAUGAUAAGACUUAACAUUGGAUAGAGUAAUUUCCCCCAACUUUUUAUUAUUUAUAAAGAUUGCUUUAGCUAUUCUAGGGUCUGUUCCUUUCCACAUAAAUUUUAUGUAACCUUGUCUAUGUCUACGCAAAACUUUUGAUGGGGCACUGGCAGGAACCACACUAAACUGAUAGAUAUGAGAAGAACUGAUAUACUUAUUAUGUGAACUCUUCUAAUCAAUAGACAAGAUAGGACUUUUUGUUUAUUUAGAUCUUCUUUUGGCUUCUUCAUCAGAAUUUUAUAACUUCCAGUAUAUAUACAUUCCUUGUUUCAUUAAGUGAAUACCUAAGCAU